RNAcentral lists this ribosomal RNA (253 nucleotides) under uncultured bacterium. RNAcentral's name for it is "partial 16S ribosomal RNA". It matches the Rfam family "Bacterial small subunit ribosomal RNA", at positions 524 to 776 of the family's 1533-position model. The record is from RNAcentral.
AACGUAGGUGGCGAGCGUUAUCCGGAUUUACUGGGCGUAAAGGGUGUGCAGGCGGGCUGUUAAGUGGUGUAUGAAAUAUCCCGGCUCAACCGGGAAGGGUUAUGCCAGACUGGCAGUCUAGAGAGCGAGAGAGGGACGUGGAAUUCCGGGUGUAGUGGUGAAAUGCGUAGAGAUCCGGAGGAACCCCAGAGGCGAAGGCGGCGUCCUGGCUCGCAUCUGACGCUCAGACACGACAGCAUGGGGAGCGAACCGG